UCUCUGAUCUGUGUCUUUAUGAGCAAUGCGAGUGUAGCCACUAAGGUUUUUUUUCAGUAAAACUUGUUCAGUAUUGUCUUUAUUUCUAAAGAGAGCCUCAAGCACGAUGCAAAAAGGCUUUAUUUUUCUACUGAUUAUUUGGAACUCAUCCCCUUUUGCCUCAGGAAAAACCACAAAUCAUCAUCAAUUCUCGCUGGGAUGUCAAGCUGUGAUACCUUGUAAACAUUACAGAACGGAUUCACACUCAUGGUUUUACAAGAAGGAUGAACAUAGCAACACAAUACGGAUAUAUUUUAAGGAUAAAAAAGGAGUAGAAUACCAUGAGCAGCUCUUACGAAAAAGAGUGAAGGUGCUGAGAAACGGUUCGUUGGCCAUUAAUAUUUUCGCAGAGGAUGAUCAAGGCCUUUACUGGUGUGAACAUUGUUUUCAAGGCAACUGUUGGGUUGACCCCCCCGAAGUCAUCGGCAUGAAGAAAGAAAUUCUGGAAGAAACUCGGGAGACAUUCUACAUUGUUGCAGGCGAAGGUUUCACUCAUGCUUGCCCGGACGAAUUCACUGACUUAAAAUGGACAUUUGAAGCAAGUAACAUGGCUGCGCUCAGAAACUUGAUACAAGGAUCAGAAUCAGACUUUGUUACUUCCAACCAGUCUAUGCACAUUGUAAAAGUCAAAAGAGCAGAUGCUGGGAAAUAUACCUGCUGGAAAAGGGGAUGUAAUGGACGCAGGCAGAAGCUGCUUACGAUCAACUUUACACCACAGUGAGGAUUCCUCUGUUUCAUGUGAUGUGAUGUGUGACAUGGAAUUCAGUUACGUCAAACCAAACAGCACAUUAAAAGUGGAGACAGGCGCAGGGACAACAUCAGUGCUUGUACAUCCAAAUGUGUCUUUAAACUGCAGUGCAAAGCAGAUGUUUGAUGGACACAGUACAGUUAACAGCACCCACGGACCAUCAAAUGCUUUAAACAAAACAACAGAUAUACCUCCGGAAGCUGAACAUCUGAUUCCAAUUAUUUAUGGAAUAUCAUCAGCCGUUACAUGUCUUACUUUAAUGGCACUUUUAAUUUGCUACCUCAGACCAAGCUUGUGGGCAGGUAGGAUCAGCUCUUUGUCUUAUUCAUUUCCUGUGAAUUGUUUUUUCAGUGGUCUACUGCCCUGAAAAGAAGUACAUAUUUGCCAUUGGGUUAUACAUGUUCCCCCUGAUUCUGUUUCCAUCUCUUCAAAGCGUUUCCAUUUCCCGUUGGUUGCUGUUGCUUGAAUAGUAGUGUAAGUGGGAGGCUAUGAUGAUGAUAAGAAUGAUGAUGGUACGACCUAAUAUUAUCUACCAUGCACCAAUGAACUAACAUGUGUUUUUUGUUCAAUUACAUUUCCUACUUCUUACUGCAGGUGGAAGAGGAGUCGUCAAUUGAUUAUUCAACAGUUGUCUUCGGGAGAUCUGCUGAGACAACAAUGAAUCACACAACUCAUAGUAACAGCUAUUGUGUGUAUAGCGAAAUAAAAGUAUAGAAAAAAGGUCACAAAGCGAUGAUAAGAGCUGAUUGAUAAUUUCCUCUUUUUUUUUUUCAAACAAAGGA
This is an RNA transcript of Cottoperca gobio, 1569 nucleotides long. RefSeq lists it as uncharacterized. The transcript has 5 exons. The record is from RefSeq and is a predicted model, not a curated record. NCBI's taxonomy places the organism in Eukaryota, Metazoa, Chordata, Actinopteri, Perciformes, Bovichtidae.